GCCGGGAUGGUGGAAUUGGCAGACACGUACGCUUGAGGUGCGUAUGGGCUUUCCCGUGGGGGUUCAAGUCCCCCUCCCGGCA
This 82-nucleotide transfer RNA is filed under the name Candidatus Firestoneibacteriota bacterium. RNAcentral's name for it is "tRNA-Leu". It matches the Rfam family "tRNA". From Rfam's summary of the family: Transfer RNA (tRNA) molecules are approximately 80 nucleotides in length. Their secondary structure includes four short double-helical elements and three loops (D, anti-codon, and T loops). The record is from RNAcentral. Lineage: Bacteria; Candidatus Firestoneibacteriota.